AAAUUGAAGAGUUUGAUCAUGGCUCAGAUUGAACGCUGGCGGCAGGCCUAACACAUGCAAGUCGAACGGUAACAGGAAGCAGCUUGCUGCUUUGCUGACGAGUGGCGGACGGGUGAGUAAUGUCUGGGAAACUGCCCGAUGGAGGGGGAUAACUACUGGAAACGGUGGCUAAUACCGCAUAACGUCGCAAGACCAAAGAGGGGGACCUUCGGGCCUCU
RNAcentral lists this ribosomal RNA (218 nucleotides) under Salmonella enterica subsp. enterica serovar Schwarzengrund. RNAcentral's name for it is "partial 16S ribosomal RNA". It matches the Rfam family "Bacterial small subunit ribosomal RNA", at positions 1 to 217 of the family's 1533-position model. Lineage: Bacteria; Pseudomonadati; Pseudomonadota; Gammaproteobacteria; Enterobacterales; Enterobacteriaceae. The record is from RNAcentral.